AUCGCUGCGACGUGGGCGGUUCGCCGCCCGCGACUUGGCGAGAAGUCCAUUGAACCUUAUCAUUUAGAGGAAGGAGAAGUCGUAACAAGGUUUCCGUAGGUGAACUGCGGAAGGAUCAUUG
Molecule: ribosomal RNA, 121 nt
Filed under: Lockhartia oerstedii
Lineage: Eukaryota; Viridiplantae; Streptophyta; Magnoliopsida; Asparagales; Orchidaceae
Description: partial 18S ribosomal RNA
Rfam family: Eukaryotic small subunit ribosomal RNA
Source: RNAcentral